CCGCCAGAGAACUACAAGUGAAAAACUCGAAACUCAAAGGACUUGGCGGUGUCCCACACCAACCUAGAGGAGCCUGUCCUGUAAUCGAUACCCCCCGCUCUACCCAACCUCCACUAGUACUUUCAGCCUAUAUACCGCCGUCGACAGUCUACCCCAUGAGGGUCCAACAGUAAAUACAAUAGCUUUUUUCCGCUAAUACGUCAGGUCAAGGUGUAGCAAAUGUUGAGGAAGAGAUUGGCUACAUUUUUUAACUUAAAAACACGGAAUGCAGUAUGAAACUCACGCACAAAGGUGAAUUUAGCAGUAAAAU
Molecule: ribosomal RNA, 310 nt
Filed under: Adolfus jacksoni
Lineage: Eukaryota; Metazoa; Chordata; Lepidosauria; Squamata; Lacertidae
Description: partial 12S ribosomal RNA
Rfam family: Bacterial small subunit ribosomal RNA
Source: RNAcentral